Long non-coding RNA from Caretta caretta (loggerhead turtle), 978 nucleotides. RefSeq lists it as uncharacterized. Lineage: Eukaryota; Metazoa; Chordata; Testudines; Cheloniidae. The record is from RefSeq and is a predicted model, not a curated record.
AGAAUUGUGUAAAUUUAAAAUAACUCCAUCCAUUCCAAUGGAUUUCUGGGGAGCCACUCCAGAUUUACACCUAUCUAAGUGAGACUAUCAUUUGGCCCUCAUUGUAAACAAUUCUGGGAACAUAAUUAAGUGAUCAAAGUUGGAAUCUGUCAGAAAAUGAAUUUAUCAAUUCUAAGCUUUCAGUCAAGGCAAAGCAGUUCCCAUCAGAAAUCCAAGUCAUUGGUCAGAUAGCCCAGAGGUAUUAGUCUUGUCAGUAGAGUUAAAAGAAAAAAAUAUAAUUUCUUCUGCUGCUGAUGAUGAUUAAAAAAAACAAAAAACCUUUGAGAGUUGCUAAUGUUCAAAGGUUCCCGUGAGUCAAAGGUUCUUGUUUUUCUUCCAGCACUGACUGCUUUGCUUUAGUAAGAACAGACUUGAGUAAGAUUUUUCUCAGGAAGGAGGUGGUUCAGAUAAAAUGAACCUGCUAUGUGUGUUACAGAACAGUAUUUAUCCCACUCUGCCUUAAACCUCCAAAACAACAAAAAUGGUACUUUCUCUGCAAUGCUCUAGCUGCAAGGAAAGACAUUGCUAUAUUACGGCUCAAAAAGGAAAGCUCUACAAUGGAGAUGUGAUUAAACAAUACAGCACAACCUGAAUCACAGCCCCAAAAUAGAUAUAAAGAAUGUUGGGUUGCACUGCCGCUGAUACGACACACCUGUGAGGCCUGCUCUGGCCAACCACAAGAAGAGGACACACCUGCCCACAAGAAGUCAAGAAAACACAGGAUAACAAUCAAACCAAGCAUAAAGCAAUAUUUGGCAGUUUUUUAAUGCAACUCGAUGGGAAGCUGCAAUACAACAUUAUCUGCACUCAUGGGAAGCCAAUAAAGCAGCAGCAGGCCAGGCCCUAUGCCCAGAAUUCCAAGAUGGCACCAUUUAGAGGUGUCUGAUACAGAUGGGUCCAAACUUCCCUUACAGAGCCAAAUGUUGAACCCAGCAAAGG